GCCAAGCACAUGUUUGAGUUG
Molecule: non-coding RNA, 21 nt
Filed under: Arabidopsis thaliana (thale cress)
Lineage: Eukaryota; Viridiplantae; Streptophyta; Magnoliopsida; Brassicales; Brassicaceae
Source: RNAcentral